GGCUCUUCCAAGCAUUUUUUAUUAUGGAAUUCCUUCUUUUUUUUUCUUUUGGCAUUUGGGAAUAAAUUGCAUGUUUUAGAUAAUUGCAGGAAGAGUAGAUUAGCUUUCAGCUUCGGAUUUUAAGAUUGUAAGAACUGAAGACGUUAGAAAUAACCACUGCAUAUUGCAUGAAGUUGACACAUUUUGAAUAGAACUUUUAUCAGUAAUGAGCAAAUUUCCAGGUGUGCUCAUUCAGGUGUAUGAAGAGAAAGGAUAAUGACCGAGGACAACAACCUUCUUGGAAGAGUAAUUUGAGAAAAGAUGACAAUAGAACAGAGGGAGAAAACAGAGAACAGUGUAUUAUAGUGAAUUGUUGGCUAGAGUUGAUACACUUGUGGAAAUUAAAGGGAAUAAGAGGUAUAUUACACUGCUGAAAGGGAAUCAAUACUACUGCUACCACUUAAGUAUAGGAGUAAAGCUGUUCUUCACUUCCUCUUAUAGGAAAUGUAAUAUGUAAAGUGAAGCAGCAUCAAGAGGACACUUAAGAAAUUACCAAAAUUCAUUUUACGUUAGCAUUUCUAUUUGAGUAGAGCCAUUCUGCUGGUCGCAUUCAGUGGAGCAUUUCCCAUUUUGGACAAGCUAAUGCCAAGGGAUUAAUUACUUGAGCAUUUGGUGUAUUAUGUCUAUAAUAAUAAGUAGUAGUUAUAUUUUUGGUGUAUUACGUCUACAAUAACAAUGCUUCGCAAAUGGUUUAACUAAACAGUACUUGUGUUUGUUGUACGUAUUGUGAAUAUAUAUAGUAGUAUUCUAUUAAGCUUGUAUUGCAGUAAUCUUGUGCUCAAUUAACUUAGAUGCUAUUAAACGUUGGUGUUUGCUGCUUUAUUCUGUGAUCAUAUCGAAAUGUUGCAGGAAACAUUAAGUAUUCUCAUUGAUCAAUGUCACCAAUAGGUUAUCAAAAUGCCAGGGACUUGUGAGAAAUUACACAUUCGUCCUCUUUA
Long non-coding RNA from Lycium barbarum (goji berry), 977 nucleotides. RefSeq lists it as uncharacterized. The record is from RefSeq and is a predicted model, not a curated record. NCBI's taxonomy places the organism in Eukaryota, Viridiplantae, Streptophyta, Magnoliopsida, Solanales, Solanaceae. The transcript has 3 exons.